CUCCAAUGAUGAUCCAGCCAUGCUAAUACCGAUGCAUUAAGCAGACAGUGUGUCUGUCUUGGUGUAAGUGAGUUGAACUCAAAACUUCUCACACUGGGACCAGUGUGUGCUGAGGAGA
Small nucleolar RNA from Cynoglossus semilaevis (tongue sole), 118 nucleotides. Lineage: Eukaryota; Metazoa; Chordata; Actinopteri; Pleuronectiformes; Cynoglossidae. The record is from Ensembl.